Molecule: unclassified non-coding RNA, 151 nt
Filed under: uncultured Veronaeopsis
Lineage: Eukaryota; Fungi; Ascomycota; Dothideomycetes; Venturiales; Venturiaceae
Description: sequence contains ITS2
Source: RNAcentral
CACCCCCCAAGCUUUGCUUGAUGUUGGGCGAUGAGCGUUGGCGCACGCCCCAAACCUCUGGGCGCCUACCGCCGGCCGCUAGCGUAGCAAUCUCUACUCGUUAGCGUGUCCGUCGGGGAGGCCGCCCCUUGAAAAACACAACUUCCAAAAG